AGAGUUUGAUCCUGGCUCAGGAUGAACGCUAGCGGCAGGCCUAAUACAUGCAAGUCGAACGGAUCUGAGUAGCAAUACUUAGAUUAGUGGCGCACGGGUGCGUAACGCGUAUGCAACCUACCUUUUAUUGGGGGAUAGCCCGUCGAAAGACGGAUUAAUACCGCAUAAUAUCCUUUGAUGGCAUCUGAAGAGGAUUAAAGCUACGGCGAUAGAAGAUGGGCAUGCGUGACAUUAGCUAGUUGGUUGAGGUAACGGCUCACCAAGGCUACGAUGUCUAGGGGUUCUGAGAGGAUGAUCCCCCACACUGGUACUGAGAUACGGACCAGACUCCUACGGGAGGCAGCAGUAGGGAAUAUUGGGCAAUGGGCGCAAGCCUGACCCAGCCAUGCCGCGUGCAGGAUGAAGGCCUUCUGGGUUGUAAACUGCUUUUACCAGGGAAGAAAAAACGCUUGCGAGCGGAACUGACGGUACCUGGUGAAUAAGCACCGGCUAACUCCGUGCCAGCAGCCGCGGUAAUACGGAGGGUGCAAGCGUUGUCCGGAUUUAUUGGGUUUAAAGGGUGCGUAGGCGGCCUGUUAAGUCCGUGGUGAAAGCCAACAGCUCAACUGUUGAACUGCCAUGGAUACUGCCAGGCUUGAGUACAGACGAGGUAGGCGGAAUUGAUGCUGUAGCGGUGAAAUGCAUAGAUAGCAUCAAGAACACCGAUUGCGUAGGCAGCUUACUAGGCUGUAACUGACGCUGAGGCACGAAAGCGUGGGGAGCGAACAGGAUUAGAUACCCUGGUAGUCCACGCCGUAAACGAUGAUUACUCGAUGUUGGCGAUAAACUGUCAGCGUCUUAGCGAAAGCGUUAAGUAAUCCACCUGGGGAGUACGCCCGCAAGGGUGAAACUCAAAGGAAUUGAC
RNAcentral lists this ribosomal RNA (904 nucleotides) under uncultured bacterium. RNAcentral describes it as "bacterial SSU rRNA". It matches the Rfam family "Bacterial small subunit ribosomal RNA", at positions 8 to 914 of the family's 1533-position model. The record is from RNAcentral.